UACGGAGGAUGCAAGCGUUAUCCGGAAUUAUUGGGCGUAAAGCGUCCGCAGGUGGCACUUCAAGUCUGUCGUCAAAGACCGGGGCUUAACCCUGGAAAGGCGAUGGAAACUGAAAGGCUAGAGAGAGGUAGGGGUAGAGGGAAUUCCCAGUGUAGCGGUGAAAUGCGUAGAUAUUGGGAAGAACAUCGGUGGCGAAAGCGCCUUGCUGGGUCUGCACUGACACUGAGGGACGAAAGCUAGGGGAGCGAAAGGG
Molecule: ribosomal RNA, 253 nt
Filed under: uncultured bacterium
Lineage: Bacteria
Description: partial 16S ribosomal RNA
Rfam family: Bacterial small subunit ribosomal RNA
Source: RNAcentral